Molecule: long non-coding RNA, 1267 nt
Organism: Bubalus bubalis (water buffalo)
Lineage: Eukaryota; Metazoa; Chordata; Mammalia; Artiodactyla; Bovidae
Exons: 2
Source: RefSeq, a predicted model, not a curated record
UCUUCUAGUAUAUAUCUAACUCUGUGUAUGAAGUUAUUCUAUAAUUGAAGUACAUUUUGCACUGAAUCUCUCAAUGCUUAGUUGCCUCUUCUUGCAUCUGUUUAAAGUCAGGUGGGACUUGUGUAAGGUAAAUGGGAGAUGGGGGACCUUCCGUCCUCUUCCUGUAUUACUGCCCUCAUUUGCUGACAAUUUGCUUGACGCCAUUGAUUCCGUCAGGCUCUGUUGCAGCGGCAGCCUCUUCUUGGAUUCUGGGAGCUCAGUGCGUUUGAGACCCUGUCACUUUUCUUGGAAGGGCCAAGCCGGCAGCCAGGCCGAGCAGGGGAAGCCUGACGCGGCUGUGAUUCGCGGGGAAAGCUUUAAACCCGCCUAGGAAGAGUCCCGCAGAAGGCUCCCCGCGAGCUGGGCCACCCCGCGGAGGCCGAGACCACGCUUGGCGGCUCCCCUCCCUGGCCUGCCUCGCCUCUGGAUCCGCUCGCUCCUAGUCCGGGAAGCCUAGAAGACCGCUUCCCAGGGGAGGAAGGGGGCCGGGCAGGUGGUGGGAGCUCCAGAGUGCGGGUGGUGGCGAUCACGUCUGGUCUUGUAAGAAAGCCGUUCGCUGGCAGCCAGGGGGGCGAGGACUUCCACAUUCCGGUUAAGUGUUGAGGGGCCCGGCGUCCACCCUGCGCAAGGUCCAUCACCAUCCCAGCCAGCCGGCGGCUGGGCGCGGAGAGGGCUGAGAGGAGAGUGCGCGCUGGAAUUGGGCGUCGAACCCACGUGCGGGAGACUCCCGGCCUCUGCACUCCACCGGCCCCAGGCCCCUGUUGGCUGACCCCCUCGGCGACCCUGAGGGUCCGCGCCACCCCCCGGCCCACUCCUGCCACGAAGCAGGCGGAGCUGCCAGCAGGCGGCACUCCCGGGGCCGCGUCGCCGUCGCCAGGCAGGGAUCGAUGGGCGCCAGCCCCGCGGGGCUUGGCCUCAGGACAGAGGGCGGCGACCUCGGCGGUGGUCGCAGAGAAUUUAUAGCUCGGCAGUUACCACGGUCCGGGCGGGGAGGCAGGCUUUUCAGCUGCUCCCCGGUUCCCUGUCCCGAGCACGCGUGAUGGCAGGAGAAAGCGGCGGGGAGGCUCUGGGGAGCGAAGGCCCAGCGUGGCGGGCGCGUCCCCAGGGGUCCCCGCUCCGCCUGCGCCCACACGCGCCUGUCGAAGGGCCCUGGAACGCUGUAUAUUUCACGUUUCCUAGAAUGAGAAAUGAGAUACCAGAGGACUCUGGCCUCCUUUGCCCCUUUUGC